Molecule: long non-coding RNA, 252 nt
Filed under: Brassica napus (rape)
Lineage: Eukaryota; Viridiplantae; Streptophyta; Magnoliopsida; Brassicales; Brassicaceae
Description: long non-coding RNA (BNAP_LNC014613)
Source: RNAcentral
GGACAAAAUCAUUUGCUACUCACUUAAAAUACAUAUCAAGCUCUUAUUUCUUGCAUUAACAAAAUUUUGCAUCUAAAAUUACAGAACAACAAAUAAAUUAGUGGUUUUCUGUUUUUAAAGUUUUAUCUCCAAACGUGUUAAAAGAUUAAUCCUUUGAAAAUUAGUAAAUCAGUUAAGUUAAAAUUAUAUUUUAAAUACAAAAAAAUUUUAAACAAUGAAUAAUUUAUUUAAUUUUUCCUCAAAAUUUAGAUA